RNAcentral lists this long non-coding RNA (301 nucleotides) under Musa acuminata (dwarf banana). RNAcentral describes it as "long non-coding RNA (MACU_LNC011759)". Lineage: Eukaryota; Viridiplantae; Streptophyta; Magnoliopsida; Zingiberales; Musaceae. The record is from RNAcentral.
CGAAGGAGGGGCACACGGGGAAAGGUAAUAACUUCUAUAUGGGCAUCUAGUUGGAUAAAGGGGUGCAUAGAUUAAGUGCGCCUAGGCUCUUAAGAAGGAUGUUCCCAGAGUUCGAUGGAGCCCAACUCCAUUUCUCCUUCCACAGGUCGUGGACAUCGGUGUGUAAAUAUGUUCUGAAAGAUUACAAGGAACCUUUUAUCUGGGGGCAGCAAUCAUAGAAGGGGAUCCAGGAGAACCUCAAAGCCAGAGAGAUGCAUAAGAAGUAGCCGGACAGAAAGCAAUGGAUCGUGCAAAGGCGGAG